RNAcentral lists this ribosomal RNA (118 nucleotides) under Polyporaceae sp. B1/1/1/1/A1. Its description in RNAcentral is "5.8S ribosomal RNA". It matches the Rfam family "5.8S ribosomal RNA", at positions 4 to 121 of the family's 154-position model. From Rfam's summary of the family: 5.8S ribosomal RNA (5.8S rRNA) is a component of the large subunit of the eukaryotic ribosome. It is transcribed by RNA polymerase I as part of the 45S precursor that also contains 18S and 28S rRNA. The record is from RNAcentral. Lineage: Eukaryota; Fungi; Basidiomycota; Agaricomycetes; Polyporales; Polyporaceae.
UUUCAGCAACGGAUCUCUUGGCUCUCGCAUCGAUGAAGAACGCAGCGAAAUGCGAUAAGUAAUGUGAAUUGCAGAAUUCAGUGAAUCAUCGAAUCUUUGAACGCACCUUGCGCGCUCC